CGGUGAACCCGCUUCGGUGGGGGAUCAGUGGCGAACGGGUGAGUAACACGUGGGCAACCUGCCCCCGGCUCUGGGAUAACUCCAAGAAAUUGGGGCUAAUACCGGAUGUGACCGCUGGCCGCAUGGUCUGGUGGUGGAAAGGGUUUCCGGCUGGGGAUGGGCCCGCGGCCUAUCAGCUUGUUGGUGGGGUAGUGGCCUACCAAGGCGACGACGGGUAGCCGGCCUGAGAGGGUGACCGGCCACACUGGGACUGAGACACGGCCCAGACUCCUACGGGAGGCAGCAGUGGGGAAUAUUGCGCAAUGGGCGAAAGCCUGACGCAGCGACGCCGCGUGGGGGAUGACGGCCUUCGGGUUGUAAACCUCUUUCAGCUCCGACGAAGCGGAAGUGACGGUAGGAGCAGAAGAAGCACCGGCCAACUACGUGCCAGCAGCCGCGGUAAUACGUAGGGUGCAAGCGUUGUCCGGAAUUAUUGGGCGUAAAGAGCUCGUAGGCGGUUUGUCGCGUCGGCUGUGAAAACCUGGAGCUCAACUCCAGGCCUGCAGUCGAUACGGGCAGACUUGAGUGUUGCAGGGGAGACUGGAAUUCCUGGUGUAGCGGUGAAAUGCGCAGAUAUCAGGAGGAACACCGGUGGCGAAGGCGGGUCUCUGGGCAACAACUGACGCUGAGGAGCGAAAGCGUGGGGAGCGAACAGGAUUAGAUACCCUGGUAGUCCACGCCGUAAACGUUGGGCGCUAGGUGUGGGGGCCAUUCCACGGUCUCCGUGCCGCAGCUAACGCAUUAAGCGCCCCGCCUGGGGAGUAC
This 804-nucleotide ribosomal RNA is filed under the name Geodermatophilus sp. RNAcentral describes it as "bacterial SSU rRNA". It matches the Rfam family "Bacterial small subunit ribosomal RNA", at positions 67 to 883 of the family's 1533-position model. The record is from RNAcentral. Lineage: Bacteria; Bacillati; Actinomycetota; Actinomycetes; Geodermatophilales; Geodermatophilaceae.